UACAGAGGGUGCGAGCGUUAAUCGGAAUUACUGGGCGUAAAGCGUGCGUAGACGGCUAUCUAAGUCAGGGGUGAAAUCCCAGAGCUCAACUCUGGAACUGCCUUUGAUACUGGGUGUCUUGAGUAUGGAAGAGGUGAGUGGAAUUCCGAGUGUAGAGGUGAAAUUCGUAGAUAUUCGGAGGAACACCAGUGGCGAAGGCGGCUCACUGGUCCAUUACUGACGCUGAGGUGCGAAAGCGUGGGGAGCAAACAGG
Molecule: ribosomal RNA, 253 nt
Filed under: uncultured bacterium
Lineage: Bacteria
Description: partial 16S ribosomal RNA
Rfam family: Bacterial small subunit ribosomal RNA
Source: RNAcentral